RNAcentral lists this non-coding RNA (24 nucleotides) under Arabidopsis thaliana (thale cress). Lineage: Eukaryota; Viridiplantae; Streptophyta; Magnoliopsida; Brassicales; Brassicaceae. The record is from RNAcentral.
AGGAUGGGUGACCUCCUGGGAAGU